CCCGCGUAGGCGGUCUCUUAAGUCAGAUGUGAAAGCCCGGGGCUCAACCCCGGAAGUGCAUUUGAAACUAAGGGACUUGAGUAUGGGAGAGGGAAGUGGAAUUCCUGGUGUAGAGGUGAAAUUCGUAGAUAUCAGGAGGAACACCGGUGGCGAAGGCGACUUCCUGGACCAAUACUGACGCUGAGGCGCGAAGGCGUGGGGAGCAAACA
RNAcentral lists this ribosomal RNA (209 nucleotides) under uncultured bacterium. RNAcentral's name for it is "partial 16S ribosomal RNA". It matches the Rfam family "Bacterial small subunit ribosomal RNA", at positions 567 to 774 of the family's 1533-position model. The record is from RNAcentral.